This 255-nucleotide ribosomal RNA is filed under the name uncultured bacterium. RNAcentral's name for it is "partial 16S ribosomal RNA". It matches the Rfam family "Bacterial small subunit ribosomal RNA", at positions 524 to 776 of the family's 1533-position model. The record is from RNAcentral.
UACGAAGGGUGCAAGCGUUACUCGGAAUUACUGGGCGUAAAGCGUGCGUAGGCGGUUUGUUAAGUCCGUUGUGAAAGCCCUGGGCUCAACCUGGGAAUUGCAGUGGAUACUGGCGAGCUAGAGUGCGGUAGAGGAUGGUGGAAUUCCCGGUGUAGCGGUGAAAUGCGUAGAGAUCGGGAGGAACACCCGUGGCGAAGGCGGCCAUCUGGACCAGCACGUGACGCUGACGGCACGAAAGCGUGGGGAGCAAACAGG